Molecule: ribosomal RNA, 444 nt
Filed under: uncultured bacterium
Lineage: Bacteria
Description: bacterial SSU rRNA
Rfam family: Bacterial small subunit ribosomal RNA
Source: RNAcentral
ACUCCUACGGGAGGCAGCAGUGGGGGAUAUUGCACAAUGGAGGAAACUCUGAUGCAGCAACGCCGCGUGAAGGAUGAAGGUCUUCGGAUUGUAAACUUUUGUACUUGGGGACGAUAAUGACGGUACCCAAGCAGCAAGCUCCGGCUAACUACGUGCCAGCAGCCGCGGUAAUACGUAGGGAGCAAGCGUUGUCCGGAUUUACUGGGCGUAAAGGAUGUGUAGGCGGAUAUUUAAGUGAGAUGUGAAAUCCCCGGGCUUAACUUGGGGGCUGCAUUUCAAACUGGAUGUCUAGAGUGCAGGAGAGGAAGGCAGAAUUCCUAGUGUAGCGGUGAAAUGCGUAGAGAUUAGGAAGAAUACCAGUGGCGAAGGCGGCUUUCUGGACUGUAACUGACGCUGAGGCAUGAAAGCGUGGGGAGCAAACAGGAUUAGAUACCCUGGUAGUCA